RNAcentral lists this long non-coding RNA (4774 nucleotides) under Mytilus galloprovincialis (Mediterranean mussel). The record is from RNAcentral. Lineage: Eukaryota; Metazoa; Mollusca; Bivalvia; Mytilida; Mytilidae.
GGCGAUGACUAUUUUGAGUUACAAUCAGGAAUGUUUGAUUUAAACCGUAAGUCUAAGUAUUCUCUAAUUGUAUUGUAUAUGUAAUGUUAAAGAAUAAAAACAUCCAUAACGUCAAUCAAUACACAAUUAUCAUAAAUAUGGCAUCUUUUGUUUCAUCAUUAUUACUACAUCUGUGUUAAUACAAUAUAAGUCAAUAUUUCAGUGUAGACAUAUUUCGACAAAAUAUUUACGCUAAAAAGAAUGAGUUGUGAUGUUUAAGUAUAAAGUUUACCUGCUUUAGAACCGUUAUAUAUACAAGGGGGUGAAUCUACGUCAUCACGCAGGGUGUCGGCGAUUGAAAUUGGACCACCAUUUUGUCGCUUCAAGGUNCUACGUUUCAAAGGUUUAAACUGUGUGUUAAACCUUUGAAAUUUUACAAUCAUAAGGAUAAAACUUGCAUACUAGAUAUUGAAACGCGCAUCUGACGUAUCAAAGUGUAAGCCUGGUACCGAAUACAAAUUCACAGCAUAACAAAAACGCGUUUAACCCAUAAUCGAUCGGGAAAUGCAUGUUCUAAGUCAGAUAUAUAGCAGUUGAUUUUCACUUGUUCCGUUGAGUGAUAGCGAAGGGUUUUCAUCAAAUUGUAUUGACUUUCCCUGCGUAAUUUUGCAUUAAUGUUUAAAUCAUGAUUUUGAAUCAAUUUUUUUUUCGUUUGUCUAUCUUAUUUCAAUACUGAUCAAACAUAAAUAGGAACUACAAAACAUUUAUUGAUUUCCAAUAGAGAUUGAAUCUAUUUUAAUCCCAAUUACAGACACAAUCAUCAAUAUACUCUUAUAUGAGUUAUUAGCGUAAAAUGACGAUAUUCGACCAAUUUAGAAUUACACUUAUCAUCAUAAAUACAUAUUAACUGAAAAUAGUAGAGGUCAUCUUCAUACAUGUUGCACAUUGUUGGAGUUCGAACAUUGACCUCCAGUUGUUUACAUCCAUGCUAUUUGGAUUUACUAUAUUUGCAAUAAUACAACACCUCUUAAUUUUUUAGGCAGUUAAGCUGCCUUAUGCGAGCACCCUAGAUUUGUGUUCUACCCAAUAAAUGCUGAAAUAUGUGCCACUGUUAUUAUCUAGCUGGAUGUUAUGUUAUUCAUAACUAAUUGGACAUUUUUUUCAUACUUUUAAUUCUUGAAUACAAAAUAUGAUCGAAAACCGAAAUGAUCGUCGAUUUAUCCAAAAGUUUUGAAGUGCACAUAGGAAGUAGGGCACAUUAGGAAUUUGUAUGUAGUUAUUUCCCCUGAGAUUUUGGCUAAAGCUGUCAAAGAACAAUAUGUAUGAAUGUUAAUCGCCGAAAAUUCUAAAGACAAGUUUUGUGGCAAAAGUCGUAGGAAUAUGUUUGUCGUCAAUAUUAUCAACUACGUCAGUAGUCUUAAAUAAGUUCCACUGUUCAUGCUGUUUGGCGGCAAUUUUAAAUAUAAAACGAUUUUUUUGUAUCUUUUCAAUUUCGAGGUUCAAUUAGCGGUGUCCGAGUCUCGCAACUUCCAUUUUGCAGUCGGACUUUCGACUUGGUACUAGCUACGCUCGACAUGCACACUUGAGAGGAAAAACAAAAUAACUUUGCAAACCUUUUACAGUCUCCUAAUAAACGAUCUCAAAACUUGUUUUUAGCAUUAUUAUCAUGACAGCGAUGUUCAUUUUGUUUCAACCGCUAGCUUUAUACAGAAAAUCGCCGACAUAAUGUGUAAAUUCGAGUAAAAUCGUAUCUGACAAAAACACAUUGAAAACAAAAUGGCUGACAUGAGAAGAAUCUCAAUAUCGGAUCCGAUUCCGGAAUCGGAUAUGGUAAUUCCGGUUUGGCGAUCUUUGAACUUUUAAAAAAUCAGACAUGACAAAAUACAUCUUUGCAUGAAAUAAUAUAAACACUGAUUAAAAACCAAAAGAAUAUGUAAAGAAUGAAAAAAACAGAAAUAUUUUGUACUGAAAAUGUGACAAACGUACAAUUAAAUACAUAUGAUGAAGUAGAGUAGAUAUAAUGGUGCAACAGUGCCAGAGUUCUGAAGAUCCAUAGGUAUCCAUAGGAACUCAAAUUACUUUUUGACAAAUUUUUAAUGUCAAAAUCUUAUACAAUGUGAGUCUUUGUGACAGCUGGGAACAGUAUAUCUAACAAUAUAUAUGGUCCUGGUGACAGUAUAAUUUUUCUUUAUCAGUAAUAAAUGUUGGUAAAGCAAGUUAGAUGCUUUAAAAGUGUAAACAUAUUACUAAAUGGGUAUUUUUUUCUCAAUUUGAUGGGUCAGUUAAAAUAGCUGGAAGUUUCUUAUUUUACACAUGUAUAAGCAAAUUAUAUAUGUGUGGAGUCCUUUUGGGGGCACUCUACCCCUUCCUGUUUGAUAACUUUGAAACGGAUGAGAUCCCCACCUCUCAACCAUAUGCAUUCAUGUAUGGGACUAUAUAACUAAUCAAAUGAAAUAUAGGUUAAGUCCUAGGGUCACCACCACCUCCUGCUUCAGAAUUGGAAACAGUCGAGAUCCGCACCACUUAACCAUUUAUUCAUGUAUGGGACAAUAUAACCAAUCAAAUAAACAGGGGGAGUCCCUUGGGUCACCCCACCACUCCUGUUUGGGAACUUUGAAACAGUCGAGAUCCCCACCCUAACCAUAUACUAUAAUUCAUGUAUGGGACAAUAUAUAAAUCAAUGAAAUAUGGGGGAGUCCUUGUGAGUCAUCCCAACCUCCUGUUUAGACUUGGAAACGGUCGAGAUCCCAACCCCUAAACAUAUAUAUUCCGUAUGGGACAAUAUAAGCAAAUCAUAUGAAAUAUAGGUGGAGUUCGUGGGGCCACUCUCCCCUUCCUGUUGAGAAUUUGAAACGGUUGAGAUCCCUCCUAAACCAUAUAUAUUAUGUAUUGGAAAUAUAACAAAUCAAAUGAAUUAUAGGGGGGUCCCUAGGUCACUGCACCUCAUGUUUGAGAACUUAGAAACAGUUGAUCCUUACCACGUAACCAUAUAUCUCAUGUAUGGACUAAAUAACAAAUCAAAUAAAAUAUAGGGGAAGUCCCUGUGGUCACCCCACCCCUCCUGUUGUUUGAGAACUUGGAAGCAGUCGAGAUCCUAACUUUAAAUUAAACCAUAUAUUUUCAUGUAUGGACAAAGAACAAAUCGAAUGAAAUAUAGGGAGAGUCCUAAGGGUCAGCUACCCCACCCCUCGACCAUAUAUAUUCAUGUAUACAAUAUAACAAAUCAAUGAAAUAUAGGGAAGCACUGGGUCCACCCUACAUAUAUAUUCAUGUAUGGGACAUAUAAAAAAUAAAAAAAUAGGGGUAGUCCUUCGGGUCAUCCACCCUUUGUGUGUUUUGAGAACUUGUAAAAGAUUGAGAUACCAACUCCUAAACCAUAUUCAUUCCUGUUUUGUCUUUAAAAAGAUUGAAUGACAUACAAGGUCAAUCUCAUAGGCGUCAAAUGCAUAUCACUUUGUUAGACCUAACACCUUCAUUUUAUUCCAAACUUAGACAUCAUGGACUUGGGUUGAAGGUGGGAGUCAUUACAUUUAACUAUGGACAGGUCAGUCAGACCUCAUAUUGAUCCUUAGUGUAAAAUUUGUCUUUUGUGUCUAAAUUUUGUACUGUAGAACACAAAACUCAUUUCUUUCCAGGGAAGCAAGUCAUUCAUACUUUUACAAGCUCGUACUAAAGUCAACUUGAAAUACUAACAGUCAACUAAUCGACAAUUACGAUCACUAGAAGAACUGCAAUCAUUGCGAAUUUGUAACACUGCUGACUCGAGACUCAUGACCAUGAAAAAAUAUACUUGAUAUAUACCUUGCUAUUGAACUUGAUAAAAUAUGAAUUAUUUGCCUUAAUGAUUAAUUCAUUAAAUGAACAUAAAUGUCAUAUAUAUGAAUGUUUAAUGUUUGUUCUUUUAAAUCUUUAAAAAAAAUUGAAGCAACAUUGCCACAGUUUUCAUAAUUAUAUUUGCCUUGGUUUUUGGUUAACUGCCUACAGUGUUUACAGCGCUCUGAUUUUUGUAUAUAGACAAUCUUUACAUAUAAACUCGUGACUGAAACUGUCAAUUUACAUUUACUCAUAUUUAACUGUUGUCAAUAAAUAUGAGACAUUCGAUAUAUACGUAUGAAAAUAAGCAGUUUAUUUCCUGCCAGAAAAAAACCCUAAAUACUGGAAAAGGAAUGACAAUUUUCUGGCAGGUGAGCGAUUAUGGUCGUAGACUACCUCUUUUUAUGAAGACGAAAUGUUCUGUAGAUCCUUUGUCAAUUUCUAAUUCACUUAUUUUCUUAAUUUUUCAGAUUAUGAGUAACUCAACAGAAGAAUUUAGUUUACAGGAAAGAACGUCCUUACUUGGACUUGUUAUUUUUGGUAUUCUAUCGGUUAUCAUCAUUGUUGUUAUAGCAACCUGCAAGUUUGGAUGUCAAGAACAGCCUUACAAGAGACGUAUCUCACCAGUAGCCCAGGCAUCUAAGGGGAAUCUUUUUCAAGUUAGCAUGUAUAUGUCAAAAUUACAUUUCAAUCUGUUAGACUUUAAAGAGGGAGCUAAUACAAAUGUGGUAGAAACAACAGAUAACAUUGAAAAGGAACACGAAAAUCGCAAAAAAGUGAAGUUAAAAAAAGAUUCAGAUAACAUGCUGACUGGAUGAACUAUACAUAUUCAGCUGUUGUGACAAUUUGUUAGUGUUAACUAUCUGCCAUUACCAAGUGAAACAAGCUGCUCAAAAGUGCAAACUUGACAUUGGAAAAAGAACAUUGUCUACAUGUUUUUAAACAACCUUUCUAAACUAUGCAUGUUGCGUGUUUUUAAACA